CCCUUAGAUGUUCUGGGCCGCACGCGCGCUACACUGACGAAAGCAACAAGCAUUCACCUCGUUCGACAGGACCGGGUAAUCUUGCAAAUUUCGUCGUGAUGGGGAUAGAUUAUUGCAACUAUUAAUCUUCAACGAGGAAUUCCUAGUAAGCGCAAGUCAUCAGCUUGCGUUGAUUACGUCCCUGCCCUUUGUACACACCGCCCGUCGCUCCUACCGAUUGAAUGGUCCGGUGAAAUCUUCGGACUGCGGUUGAUGCAGGUUUACCUGUAGAUUCUGCGGGAAGUUGCUUAAACCUUAUCAUUUAGAGGAAGGAGAANUCGUAACA
RNAcentral lists this ribosomal RNA (325 nucleotides) under uncultured eukaryote. RNAcentral describes it as "partial 18S ribosomal RNA". It matches the Rfam family "Eukaryotic small subunit ribosomal RNA", at positions 1470 to 1796 of the family's 1831-position model. The record is from RNAcentral.